Molecule: long non-coding RNA, 1644 nt
Organism: Carassius carassius (crucian carp)
Lineage: Eukaryota; Metazoa; Chordata; Actinopteri; Cypriniformes; Cyprinidae
Exons: 2
Source: RefSeq, a predicted model, not a curated record
CUGUUUUUGUUUUAAUUUGAGUUUGUUUUUUAUGUCUAUAGUUUAAGCUUUAGUUUUUAUUUUUCCAUUUAAUUACUUUUAGUUAUUAACUCAGCUUAAACGAAAUGAAAAAUGUUGGCAUCCACCUGAAAUAAAUAAGAUAGCAUUUUGCUUUGAUAAUAACCCAAUAAUAUUAACAAUAACCCUGUUUCGUGGUUAUUAUUGUUAAUACAAUCGGGUUAUGAUUAACUAAAACAAAAACAACAACAAAAAUGUCAUUUUCAUUAUUAAAAGAAAAUUAAAAUUAACUGAAAAUAAGUUUAAGGAUUGUUUAUUCUAUUUAAUUUUAGUUAACGUUUACUUUAUUUCAAGUAAUAAGCAUCUUUUUUAUGGUUUUAGUUAAUGAUUAUAACCAUGCUCCAAUCCAUAUGCAAAUAUUAUAUAAGGACGUGUGAUCCCCAUUAUUGCUAUCAGAGUCAAGUUCAUGUUCAUUGCCUGUGGGAGUCCCAGCCAGACUGGGGACUUCUUCAUCCACCCCUGUGAACCAGCUCACCCCUUGUAACCCACACCCUAUCUGCCCCAUCCGCUCACCCCUGUGGUUUUAGUGGCGGGCUGGAGGGGGCUCUCCUCUCUGUGCAGUUGCUAAGGGAGCAAGACCUGGCUGGCCCAGCAAUGUGCUGGUGAAAAGGCCCGCCUGUCAAAGUGUCUGAGGGAAGUCAGGCUGGUUGGCGCGCCCCUCCGUAUACACACACUCUUAUAUAUACAGCCUGCAUGUGUGUGUGUUCCAGACCCUGGGAAUGGCAGCAAGCACUUUAUAUUCAUCAGCCACCCCCCCCCCCCCCCCCCCCCGCCGCAGUAUUUGGUAAAUAGCCCCCCUCAUUCCUUAAAUGUCUAGUCUACUUCCAUCCCAUAAUCCUCCUCAUUGCAUCUCCUCUAGGAACAAUAUUUGUGACUCUUGGUAAAAACGAUUGUAGGCCUUUAGGUUCUACAAAAUUUUUUUUUUUUUUUUUAGAAUGUUAUGUUUUUCACCCUAAGUAACAAUGGUUCUUUGCUCACUGAAAGGUUCUUUGAGGAACCCAAAAUGGUUCUUCUGUGGCAUCUCUUUGCAGAAACCCUAUUUUGAGUCCUUUAUUUUUAAGAAUGUUUUUUAUUGGCAUCAAUGGUUUCAUGAAGAACCUGUAACAAUUCCAUUCCACAAAAGGUUCUUUGUAGUAGAAAAAGGUUAUUUUAAGAACUGUUCACUGAAAGGUUCUUUGGGAAACCAAAACAUGGCUAUGAAAACCUCCUUGUGAAACCUUUAUUUUUAAGAGCGUAGUUCUUUGCAUGAUGAGUGUGGACUGUUGCAACGAUAUUAGUAACUUAAUACAAUUGUUUCUACUAUAAUCAACAUAGUGGUGCAUAGUACAUUAAAAUGGCAUGUUGGGCUCCGUUCCCAUUACAGUAGAGUUUGGUAAGAACGUGUGUGUGUGUGUGUGUGUGUUUUCUUGUGUGUGUUUUCUUGAGGUCUCAUUCAAGGCUGAGGACAAGAAUUGAGAAUAAAAGGGCAGUGAUUUGCAUAAGCUGCAUGCUGUCUGAGGGUUUUUGGGAAGGCGGUGGGAGCUUGAGAAGAAAAAAAUAUGCGGGAAUACAAAAAAAAAAAAAAGAAAAAGAAAGAGACAGAAAGAA